RNAcentral lists this ribosomal RNA (309 nucleotides) under uncultured bacterium. Its description in RNAcentral is "bacterial SSU rRNA". It matches the Rfam family "Bacterial small subunit ribosomal RNA", at positions 28 to 334 of the family's 1533-position model. The record is from RNAcentral.
GAUGAACGCUGGCGGCGCGCCUAACACAUGCAAGUCGAACGAGCGAGAGAGAGCUUACUUUCUCAAGCGAGUGGCGAACGGGUGAGUAACGCGUGAGGAACCUGCCUCAAAGAGGGGGACAACAGUUGGAAACGACUGCUAAUACCGCAUAAUGUCAUUUGGGGGCAUCCCUGGAUGACCAAAGAUUUAUUGCUGAAAGAUGGUCUCGCGUCUGAUUAGCUGGUUGGCGGGGUAACGGCCCACCAAGGCGACGAUCAGUAGCCGGUCUGAGAGGAUGAACGGCCACAUUGGGACUGAGAUACGGCCCAG